AUUGAACGCUGGCGGCAGGCCUAACACAUGCAAGUCGAACGAGUGGCGGACGGGUGAGUAAUGUCUGGGAAACUGCCCGAUGGAGGGGGAUAACUACUGGAAACGGUAGCUAAUACGGCAUACCAUCGGAUGUGCCCAGAUGGGAUUAGAUUGUAGGUGAGGUAACGGCUCACCUAGGCGACGAUCCCUAGCUGGUCUGAGAGGAUGACCAGGCAAACUGAAAAAGAGACACGGUCCAGACUCAGACGGGAGGGAGCAGUGGGGAAUAGUGCAAAAUGGGCGCAAGCCUGAAGCAGCCAUGCCGCGUGUAUGAAGAAGGCCUGCGGGUUGUAAAGUACUUGCAGCGGGGAGGCGUUACCCGCAGAAGAAGCACCGGCUAACUCCGUGCAAGCAGCCGCGGUAAUU
This 405-nucleotide ribosomal RNA is filed under the name uncultured bacterium. Its description in RNAcentral is "partial 16S ribosomal RNA". It matches the Rfam family "Bacterial small subunit ribosomal RNA", at positions 29 to 525 of the family's 1533-position model. The record is from RNAcentral.